This 301-nucleotide ribosomal RNA is filed under the name uncultured bacterium. Its description in RNAcentral is "partial 16S ribosomal RNA". It matches the Rfam family "Bacterial small subunit ribosomal RNA", at positions 509 to 809 of the family's 1533-position model. The record is from RNAcentral.
CAGUAGCCGCGGGAAUACGUAGGUGGCAAGCGUUGUCCGGAAUUAUUGGGCGUAAAGCGUGCGCAGGCGGAUAGGUCAGUCUGUCUUAAAAGUUCGGGGCUUAACCCCGUGAUGGGAUGGAAACUGCCAAUCUAGAGUAUCGGAGAGGAAAGUGGAAUUCCUAGUGUAGCGGUGAAAUGCGUAGAUAUUAGGAAGAACACCAGUGGCGAAGGCGACUUUCUGGACGAAAACUGACGCUGAGGCGCGAAAGCCAGGGGAGCGAACGGGAUUAGAUACCCCAGUAGUCCCUGUCUCUUAUACA